UACGUAGGGCGCAAGCGUUGUCCGGAAUUAUUGGGCGUAAAGAGCUCGUAGGUGGUUCGGUAAGUCGGGUGUUAAACCCCCAGGCUCAACCUGGGGACGCCACUCGAUACUGCUGUGACUAGAGUCCGGUAGGGGAGCGUGGAAUUCCUGGUGUAGCGGUGAAAUGCGCAGAUAUCAGGAGGAACACCAGCGGCGAAGGCGGCGCUCUGGGCCGGUACUGACACUGAGGAGCGAAAGCGUGGGUAGCAAACGGG
This 254-nucleotide ribosomal RNA is filed under the name uncultured bacterium. RNAcentral describes it as "partial 16S ribosomal RNA". It matches the Rfam family "Bacterial small subunit ribosomal RNA", at positions 524 to 776 of the family's 1533-position model. The record is from RNAcentral.